This 434-nucleotide ribosomal RNA is filed under the name uncultured Lachnospiraceae bacterium. RNAcentral describes it as "partial 16S ribosomal RNA". It matches the Rfam family "Bacterial small subunit ribosomal RNA", at positions 341 to 792 of the family's 1533-position model. The record is from RNAcentral. Lineage: Bacteria; Bacillati; Bacillota; Clostridia; Lachnospirales; Lachnospiraceae.
ACGGAAGGCAGCAGUGGGGGAUAUUGCACAAUGGGGGAAACCCUGAUGCAGCGACGCCGCGUGAGCGAAGAAGUAUUUCGGUAUGUAAAGCUCUAUCAGCAGGGAAGAAAAUGACGGUACCUGACUAGGAAGCUCCGGCUAAAUACGUGCCAGCAGCCGCGGUAAUACGUAUGGAGCAAGCGUUAUCCGGAUUUACUGGGUGUAAAGGGAGCGUAGACGGUUUGCCAAGUCUGAUGUGAAAGGUGGGGGCUCAACCCCCAAACUGCAUUGGAAACUGGUAGACUAGAGUGUCGGAGAGGUAAGUGGAAUUCCUAGUGUAGCGGUGAAAUGCGUAGAUAUUAGGAGGAACACCAGUGGCGAAGGCGGCUUACUGGACGAUAACUGACGUUGAGGCUCGAAAGCGUGGGGAGCAAACAGGAUUAGAUACCCUGGUA